This 253-nucleotide ribosomal RNA is filed under the name uncultured bacterium. Its description in RNAcentral is "partial 16S ribosomal RNA". It matches the Rfam family "Bacterial small subunit ribosomal RNA", at positions 524 to 776 of the family's 1533-position model. The record is from RNAcentral.
UACGUAGGGUGCAAGCGUUGUCCGGAAUUAUUGGGCGUAAAGAGCUCGUAGGCGGUUAGUCGCGUCUGCUGUGAAAACUCGGGGCUUAACUCCGGGCCUGCAGUGGGUACGGGCUGACUAGAGUGCGGUAGGGGAGACUGGAAUUCCUGGUGUAGCGGUGAAAUGCGCAGAUAUCAGGAGGAACACCGGUGGCGAAGGCGGCAUCCUGGACCGACACUGACACUGAGGAGCGAAAGCCAGGGGAGCAAACGGG